GGGAGAGCCAGCUGCCACAGUGUGAGCUGCCCUAUGGAGAGGCCUCUAUAGCAAGAAAGUGAGGCCUUCAGUCCAGCAACCCUCAAGCAACUGAAACCUGCCAACAACCACAUGAGUCAGCUUGGAAGUGGAUCCAUUACCCAUCAGGCUUUCAGAUGAGACCACAGCCCCGGCUGCCACCUUGAUUCCAACUUCAUGAGAGAUCCAGAGACAGAGAACCUAGCUAAUCUGUGACUAGAUUCCUGACUCACAGAAACUAUGAGAUAAUAAAUGUCUG
RNAcentral lists this long non-coding RNA (277 nucleotides) under Homo sapiens (human). RNAcentral describes it as "non-protein coding lnc-WAS-1:1". Lineage: Eukaryota; Metazoa; Chordata; Mammalia; Primates; Hominidae. The record is from RNAcentral.